Pezoporus occidentalis (night parrot) is the source of this 580-nucleotide long non-coding RNA. RefSeq lists it as uncharacterized. The record is from RefSeq and is a predicted model, not a curated record. Lineage: Eukaryota; Metazoa; Chordata; Aves; Psittaciformes; Psittacidae. The transcript is spliced from 3 exons.
AAUAAAAGGAGAUGGCCAGGAACUGAGUGGGUUUUUCUCCCACUACAAUUUCUUGACUUUGUGCUCUAGCAGUAAGGAAAUUACUGGGAAUUUGCCUUGAGUUCACCAGAGGAGACCUCAGAUUUGUCUGUUGUUUUUCAAAGUGGGUGAUAAGUAUGGAGGACAUGGGUGAAGCUUCCUGAGCUCAGAGCCUGAAGUAACCUUGUGGCUGCUGCUUCCUUGACAGCUAAGACACCCGUCUGUGGUGGGACAGUCCGCUGAUGCUGGAAUGCUGCCUACCAGAAUAUUACACUUAUUAACUACAGCAGUUAAUGACAAUCAAAAAGCACCUGAGAGCAAAACACUCAUUUGGAAGCAAACAGGAAAUGUGGGCAAAGUCAGUUUGCUUUUCCUCAUCUUCAGUUACCACAGAAAAGCUGCAGUGCCUUCAUCUCCCCCAACGCAGCAUUUCAGGUUUACGUCAAUAUUUUCAUGCUUUUGUAAAGAACUGCUUCUGUGUAAAUCCUCACUCUUAAAUGAUUUCUGGAGUUUGAUGACUUCAGGCAGAUAAGAACCUCAUUGCCUGCAACAGAAUGAAUUU